RNAcentral lists this ribosomal RNA (609 nucleotides) under uncultured bacterium. RNAcentral's name for it is "bacterial SSU rRNA". The stretch from base 1 to 521 matches the Rfam family "Bacterial small subunit ribosomal RNA", at positions 338 to 873 of the family's 1533-position model. The record is from RNAcentral.
CCUACGGGAGGCAGCAGUGGGGAAUAUUGGGCAAUGGAGGAAACUCUGACCCAGCGACGCCGCGUGCGGGAUGAAGGCCUUCGGGUUGUAAACCGCUUUCAGCAGGGAAGAAGCGAAAGUGACGGUACCUGCAGAAGAAGCACCGGCUAACUAUGUGCCAGCAGCCGCGGUAAUACAUAGGGUGCAAGCGUUGUCCGGAAUUAUUGGGCGUAAAGAGCUCGUAGGUGGUUCGUCACGUCGGAUGUGAAAAUCUGGGGCUUAACCCCAGACCUGCAUUCGAUACGGGCGAGCUUGAGUAUGGUAGGGGAGUCUGGAAUUCCUGGUGUAGCGGUGGAAUGCGCAGAUAUCAGGAGGAACACCAAUGGCGAAGGCAGGACUCUGGGCCAUUACUGACACUGAGGAGCGAAAGCGUGGGGAGCGAACAGGAUUAGAUACCCUGGUAGUCCACGCCGUAAACGGUGGGCACUAGUUGUGGGGACCUUCCACGGUCUCUGCGACGCNGCUACGCAUAGUCGCCCGCCGUCGGGAGGUACGACGUCGCGAAGAAUUAAACUAACGAAAGAAGUAGACGGCGNGAGACGUGCCGACGGACGACGACGAGGGAGUAGG